UACAGAGGUCCCGAGCGUUGUUCGGAUUUAUUGGGCGUAAAGGGCGCGUAGGCGGCGGAGUAAGUUGGGUGUGAAAUCCCGGGGCUCAACCUCGGAAUUGCAUUCAAUACUGCUUCGCUCGAGUACUGGAGAGGAGGCUGGAAUUUACGGUGUAGCAGUGAAAUGCGUAGAUAUCGUAAGGAAGGCCGGUGGCGAAAGCGAGCCUCUGGACAGUUACUGACGCUGAUGCACGAAGGCCAGGGGAGCAAACGGG
This 253-nucleotide ribosomal RNA is filed under the name uncultured bacterium. Its description in RNAcentral is "partial 16S ribosomal RNA". It matches the Rfam family "Bacterial small subunit ribosomal RNA", at positions 524 to 776 of the family's 1533-position model. The record is from RNAcentral.